Molecule: ribosomal RNA, 525 nt
Filed under: uncultured bacterium
Lineage: Bacteria
Description: bacterial SSU rRNA
Rfam family: Bacterial small subunit ribosomal RNA
Source: RNAcentral
UGCCUAACAAUGCAAGUCGAACGAGAAAGUGGAGCAAUCCAUGAGUAAAGUGGCGACCGGGUGAGUAACACGUGACUAACCUACCUCCGAGUGGGGAAUAACUCCGGGAAACCGGGGCUAAUACCGCAUAACAUCGCAAGAUCAAAGCAGCAAUGCGCUUGGAGAGGGGGUCGCGGCUGAUUAGCUCGUUGGCGGGGUAACGGCCCACCAAGGCGAAGAUCGGUAUCCGGCCUGAGAGGGCGCACGGACACACUGGAACUGAAACACGGUCCAGACUCCUACGGGAGGCAGCAGUGGGGAAUUUUGCGCAAUGGGGGAAACCCUGACGCAGCAACGCCGCGUGGAGGAUGAAGCCCUUUGGGGCGUAAACUCCUUUCGACUCGGACGAUAAUGACGGUACGAGUGGAAGAAGCACCGGCUAACUCUGUGCCAGCAGCCGCGGUAAUACAGAGGGUGCGAGCGUUGUUCGGAAUUAUUGGGCGUAAAGGGCGCGUANGCGGUGCGGUAAGUCAACUGUGAAAUCUC